This 862-nucleotide ribosomal RNA is filed under the name uncultured bacterium. Its description in RNAcentral is "bacterial SSU rRNA". It matches the Rfam family "Bacterial small subunit ribosomal RNA", at positions 8 to 853 of the family's 1533-position model. The record is from RNAcentral.
AGAGUUUGAUCAUGGCUCAGGACGAACGCUGGCGGCGUGCGUGAUACAUGCAAGUUGAGCGCUGAAGGUUGGUACUUGUACCGACUGGAUGAGCAGCGAACGGGUGAGUAACGCGUGGGGAAUCUGCCUUUGAGCGGGGGACAACAUUUGGAAACGAAUGCUAAUACCGCAUAAAAACUUUAAACACAAGUUUUAAGUUUGAAAGAUGCAAUUGCAUCACUCAAAGAUGAUCCCGCGUUGUAUUAGCUAGUUGGUGAGGUAAAGGCUCACCAAGGCGAUGAUACAUAGCCGACCUGAGAGGGUGAUCGGCCACAUUGGGACUGAGACACGGCCCAAACUCCUACGGGAGGCAGCAGUAGGGAAUCUUCGGCAAUGGACGAAAGUCUGACCGAGCAACGCCGCGUGAGUGAAGAAGGUUUUCGGAUCGUAAAACUCUGUUGGUAGAGAAGAACGUUGGUGAGAGUGGAAAGCUCAUCAAGUGACGGUAACUACCCAGAAAGGGACGGCUAACUACGUGCCAGCAGCCGCGGUAAUACGUAGGUCCCGAGCGUUGUCCGGAUUUAUUGGGCGUAAAGCGAGCGCAGGUGGUUUAUUAAGUCUGGUGUAAAAGGCAGUGGCUCAACCAUUGUAUGCAUUGGAAACUGGUAGACUUGAGUGCAGGAGAGGCGAGUGGAAUUCCAUGUGUAGCGGUGAAAUGCGUAGAUAUAUGGAGGAACACCGGUGGCGAAAGCGGCUCUCUGGCCUGUAACUGACACUGAGGCUCGAAAGCGUGGGGAGCAAACAGGAUUAGAUACCCUGGUAGUCCACGCCGUAAACGAUGAGUGCUAGAUGUAGGGAGCUAUAAGUUCUCUGUAUCGCAGCU